RNAcentral lists this long non-coding RNA (1826 nucleotides) under Zea mays. RNAcentral describes it as "drought responsive lncRNA". The record is from RNAcentral. Lineage: Eukaryota; Viridiplantae; Streptophyta; Magnoliopsida; Poales; Poaceae.
CAAUAGUGGGAUCUUACUGCAAAGUUCCCUGUGAUGCUCUUUCAUCCUAAGGAACAGACACAAUCCUAAGGAUGGAAAUACUUAAAUCGAGACUUGGGCUAGGAACAGGUGAUGCUCCGCCCGGGUCAAUUAAGGAUUGGAUGCGUAUGUAGGCCUGUUGAUCAAGGACUAUCUUAUCUAGCCACAUGCCCUGAGAAUGGGACAGGGUAAGCUUGAACCCGGCUAUUCCAUACAUGAAAAGACAAUCGCGCACUGGGCGUGGAGAGAUGGCGAGAGUGGCACGUACCCUCCUGGCAACGGAUCGCCUAAAAGGGGUGGUGUACUCUCGGGUGGUGCGGACCUGUUCAUGCAGUGGAGGAUCCGUGGGAAUAGUAGACAUCAAGGUUUACGAGAAACAUAUGUCGUGUGGUUAGAAAUCCUCAGCUGAGUAAAUCGAUUCGGAUCGCCGUUAUAUCCCCGGACAGUGGAGACUUGAGCUCCGACCUACAACCUAAGUCAGGAUGUGAACACGAUGGAUAAAAAUAAUGUUGUCUUGAUGUGAUGUGAAAUUAGACUAGAUGCAAAUAGAGUCUAUUAAUACUUAAUAUGGCGUUAAAAGAUUGAAAGUAAGGACUCACUUUAGUAAGCUAUUUCUGCAAAAGUAUCUAAGUUGAUUCUUGCUAAAGCCUCUCCUUGACUCCUAUUUAUCCAGCAUACCCUUGAGAGUCUUUUCCUUAGUCGGGUAAGUCUUGCUGAGUAAUUCCAUACUGAGGGUUUUAUUCCCUGUUGUUUUUCAGGUUAUAGUUUUUGUGCUGCUGUUGAUGGUGUUAAGUGCCGGUGGGGCUCGGCCUUCUUAUAUAAGUAUACCCCGUCUUUACCUUCUUAUUGAGGAUGGUCACUUGAGUUAGCAUAUAUUUCAAACUUAUAAAUAAUUUAUAACAGUUUAAAGUUAUUUCUUUGAAUCACCUUUGUAAUCACUCCGAUCAUACAAAGUAAAAUUUUGUAACUUGUAAAAUUUGGUAAUAAGAUUUCCGCUGCAAAGAUAUUGAUGUGUGUGAUUUGUGUUUACUUAAUCCCGCGGUUCUGGUUGUAAGUGGUUUAUCCGAUGUCCUUGGGUCAAUCGGACGGAUCCUGUUAAGUUAUUUAGUGCACAUGCAUAGCUGUCUGAGGUCUUUGAGACAAGGACAGGUGCAUGUGGGCCCAAUAACUUGGGAGGUUCUGCCACAAGCUCUCCCCGGGUAGAAAGGGAAUCAUGACUCAUGGGUAAAGUGUGCAACCUCUGCAGAGGGUAGUGAAACUGAUAUAUCAGCCGUGCUCAUGGUUAAGAGCAGCCUUGGGAUCCUCUUUGAUUAGAGAUACAGAUGGUUCGAGAUACAAGGAUUAUGUUGUGGUUUUGGUUCGACUAUGAUGGUGUUGUUCCUCAAUGAGGAAAUGGUUCACGGGUUGGUUAAUGCUAAAAUCUGGCUUCUACUAAUGAUAAAUACUUGACCAACUAAAAGCAACUGCUUGAGCCUAACCCCACAUAAAGCUAGUCCACUUCAGCCAAACGGGACAUUUGCUGAGUACGUUGAUGUGUACUCAUCCUUGCUUUACCACAAAACACCAGGUUGUCCGCAUUGUAACCACUUCUCAGGAGAAGGCGAAGCCGUGGAAGGAGACUUCCAGGAGUUCCAAGAUUACGAUGAAUUCUAGGUGUGGGUUGGCGGCAACCCCCAGUCAGCUGCCUGUGAAGGCCUUAUCUUUACUGUGUUUCGCUAGCACUUUGAUUUACUUGUUAAGACAAUGACUAUGUGGAUGUCUAUGACUCUAUGAUGUAAUAAGUACUCUUUUAUGUUAUUACUCGAGCA